Molecule: ribosomal RNA, 497 nt
Filed under: uncultured bacterium
Lineage: Bacteria
Description: partial 16S ribosomal RNA
Rfam family: Bacterial small subunit ribosomal RNA
Source: RNAcentral
GAUGAACGCUGGCGGCGUGCCUAAUACAUGCAAGUCGAGCGAACAGACGAGGAGCUUGCUCCUUUGACGUUAGCGGCGGACGGGUGAGUAACACGUAGGUAACCUACCUAUAAGACUGGGAUAACUUCGGGAAACCGGAGCUAAUACCGGAUAAUAUUUCGAACCGCAUGGUUCGAUAGUGAAAGAUGGCUUUGCUAUCACUUAUAGAUGGACCUGCGCCGUAUUAGCUAGUUGGUAAGGUAACGGCUUACCAAGGCAACGAUACGUAGCCGACCUGAGAGGGUGAUCGGCCACACUGGAACUGAGACACGGUCCAGACUCCUACGGGAGGCAGCAGUAGGGAAUCUUCCGCAAUGGGCGAUAGCCUGACGGAGCAACGCCGCGUGAGUGAUGAAGGUCUUCGGAUCGUAAAACUCUGUUAUUAGGGAAGAACAAACGUGUAAGUAACUGUGCACGUCUUGACGGUACCUAAUCAGAAAGCCACGGCUAACUACGUG